UAUGGACAGUGUUCUUUUUUGAGAUGCUUCAUUUUUUUAUCUGUGAACAUAGAGCUGAUGUGACUUGCCAAAAAGCUCCAGUUUUGUCUCAUCUGUCCAAAGGACAUUCUCCCAGAAGCUUUAUUGCUUGACAAUAUGUAUUUUGGCAAAUUCUAAUCUUGCAU
This is a long non-coding RNA of Bufo bufo (common toad), 164 nucleotides long. RefSeq lists it as uncharacterized. The record is from RefSeq and is a predicted model, not a curated record. NCBI's taxonomy places the organism in Eukaryota, Metazoa, Chordata, Amphibia, Anura, Bufonidae. The transcript is spliced from 4 exons.